UAGUGAGAUGAUGCUUUACCAUCUUUCGGGACUGACCAGUCAAUGGAGAUGCCUUAUUUAUCUAACUGAUCACUA
This is a small nucleolar RNA of Anguilla anguilla (European eel), 75 nucleotides long. RefSeq annotates it as small nucleolar RNA SNORD2. NCBI's taxonomy places the organism in Eukaryota, Metazoa, Chordata, Actinopteri, Anguilliformes, Anguillidae. The record is from RefSeq and is a predicted model, not a curated record. The transcript has a single exon.